RNAcentral lists this ribosomal RNA (95 nucleotides) under Pogona vitticeps (central bearded dragon). Lineage: Eukaryota; Metazoa; Chordata; Lepidosauria; Squamata; Agamidae. The record is from RNAcentral.
UUGUCCCAUAAUACACCAGUCUCAUCUGAUUUUGGAAGCUAAGCAGAGAUGAAUCUGGUUAGUAUUUGCAUGAGAGAUUACAAGAGAAUGAUAGG